RNAcentral lists this long non-coding RNA (1028 nucleotides) under Vombatus ursinus (common wombat). RNAcentral describes it as "lncRNA (ENSVURG00010017905.1)". Lineage: Eukaryota; Metazoa; Chordata; Mammalia; Diprotodontia; Vombatidae. The record is from RNAcentral.
UAAUUCCCCAGCUCGGGCGGCUUGAAACUGCUCGGGCUGAAUAGCAUUUGCUGUUCCGUCCUCCGGCCGCCUCCCGCCGCCGCUGCCGCGGUCUCUGCAAAGCAGCUCUCCUGAUCCCGGAAGUUGUGCUGACACAGUCUCGCUGCCACCCGAAGUUUGUCAACAUCAAACUUCUCCUGUGCGUGCUUGUACUGCGGGCAUGUUCAGUCCUGUUUCAGAUUGCUUGAAAAUGCAAGGCCUGCUUUGCAAAGGUGUGACCCUAGGCAUUCGAGAAGGUAUGUCACCUAGAGGACUAAGAGUUUAAAUCGACUGGUCCAAACCCUUAACCCUUUAAAGCUAUUAACCACUUCCCCUCCCCACCAUUAUUAACUUUUAAUGUCUUACAUGCUGUCAUAGAGCAUAUGUGGGAAAUCAGAGAGGGAGGGUGCAGGGAUCUGUGUGCAAAGUUAUAUCAGACAUGGGCUGCCUGUGAAGAUUCAGUAACCCAGACGGGCUACAUAAUGGGCUGAAUGCAGUCUGUUCAUUUGAAUUAGAAAUCUGUCAACUUGGUGGGUGCAGCAGGAUUCUUUUCCACUCUAUCAAAAAAUAAGUCAAGGUGAAGAAAGACAUCUGAAGAGAUUAUUAUAUAGUACACCAAGAAGGAGAAGAGCAUAUUUGCGUUGGUGAGGUAUAAAGGAGAGACUUAGCUCAUUUGGGGGGCCACAAAGGCACUUUUUUAACUUAUGCAGAUGACAGCCACGCGGGUAGUCAGAUCUGAUCUGCAGCCAUUUCUCUAUCAAUAACAAUGAGCAGGACACCCCCUUGUUUUUCAGACUGCAUGUAAAAAGAAAAUUAUACAUGACUCCAGGGGCACUCCUUUAAGCAAGCCUUGGAAAACAUCUUAAGCACAAUGUAACCGCAAUUUUAUUAGUGUUACUGAAGCAACUUCUGAGGUCAAGCCAUCGAUCAAUCAAUCAAGCAGCUUUUAUUAAAUCCCUACUGUGUGCUAGGCACUAGUCUAGGCUCUGGGAACACAUAAACCUAUGUAA